Molecule: transfer RNA, 74 nt
Filed under: Erythrobacter sp.
Lineage: Bacteria; Pseudomonadati; Pseudomonadota; Alphaproteobacteria; Sphingomonadales; Erythrobacteraceae
Description: tRNA-Val
Source: RNAcentral
GUUCGCGUCCGUUGCUGGUGAAGCCACCCUUCACACGGGUGGGGUCGCAAGUUCAAUCCUUGCCGCGCCCACCA